Molecule: ribosomal RNA, 267 nt
Filed under: unidentified marine bacterioplankton
Lineage: Bacteria
Also listed under: 1 other name
Description: partial 16S ribosomal RNA
Rfam family: Bacterial small subunit ribosomal RNA
Source: RNAcentral
UGAUUAAGAGCUUGCUCUUAUGAUUAGUGGCGCACGGGUGAGUAAUAUAUAGAUAACGUACCUCUUAGUCUGGGAUAGCCAUUGGAAACGAUGAUUAAUACCGGAUACUCCUUCUAACUAUAAUGUUAGUCGGGAAAGUUUUUCGCUAAGAGAUCGGUCUAUAUCCCAUCAGCUUGUUGGUAGUGUAAGAGACUACCAAGGCUAUGACGGGUAGCGGGUUUGAGAGGAUGAUCCGCCACACUGGUACUGAGACACGGACCAGACUCC